UACGUAGGGUGCGAGCGUUGUCCGGAUUUAUUGGGCGUAAAGAGCGUGUAGGCGGCCAGGUAGGUCUGCUGUGAAAACUCGAGGCUUAACCUCGAGCUGUCGGCGGAAACCAUCUGGCUAGAGUCCGGAAGAGGAGAAUGGAAUUCCCGGUGUAGCGGUGAAAUGCGCAGAUAUCGGGAAGAACACCCGUGGCGAAGGCGGUUCUCUGGGACGGUACUGACGCUGAGACGCGAAAGCGUGGGGAGCGAACAGG
RNAcentral lists this ribosomal RNA (253 nucleotides) under uncultured bacterium. RNAcentral describes it as "partial 16S ribosomal RNA". It matches the Rfam family "Bacterial small subunit ribosomal RNA", at positions 524 to 776 of the family's 1533-position model. The record is from RNAcentral.